AGCAGUAGCCGCGGUAAUACGUAGGUCCCGAGCGUUGUCCGGAUUUAUUGGGCGUAAAGGGAGCGCAGGCGGUUUAGUAAGUCUGAAGUUAAAGGCAUUGGCUCAACCAAUGUAUGCUUUGGAAACUGUUAGACUUGAGUGCAGAAGGGGAGAGUGGAAUUCCAUGUGUAGCGGUGAAAUGCGUAGAUAUAUGGAGGAACACCGGUGGCGAAAGCGGCUCUCUGGUCUGUCACUGACGCUGAGGCUCGAAAGCGUGGGUAGCGAACAGGAUUAGAUACCCCCGUAGUCCCUGUCUCUAUACAC
RNAcentral lists this ribosomal RNA (303 nucleotides) under uncultured bacterium. RNAcentral's name for it is "partial 16S ribosomal RNA". It matches the Rfam family "Bacterial small subunit ribosomal RNA", at positions 507 to 809 of the family's 1533-position model. The record is from RNAcentral.